GACGAACGCUGGCGGCGUGCUUAACACAUGCAAGUCGAACGGAAAGGCCCUGCUUUUGUGGGGUGCUCGAGUGGCGAACGGGUGAGUAACACGUGAGUAACCUGCCCUUGACUUUGGGAUAACUUCAGGAAACUGGGGCUAAUACCGGAUAGGAGCUCCUGCUGCAUGGUGGGGGUUGGAAAGUUUCGGCGGUUGGGGAUGGACUCGCGGCUUAUCAGCUUGUUGGUGGGGUAGUGGCUUACCAAGGCUUUGACGGGUAGCCGGCCUGAGAGGGUGACCGGCCACAUUGGGACUGAGGUACGGCCCAGACUCCUACGGGAGGCAGCAGUGGGGAAUAUUGCACAAUGGGCGGAAGCCUGAUGCAGCAGCGCCGCGUGCGGGAUGACGGCCUUCGGGUUGUAAACCGCGUUCGCCUGUGACGAAGCGUGAGUGACGGUAAUGGGUAAAGAAGCACCGGCUAACUACGUG
This 468-nucleotide ribosomal RNA is filed under the name uncultured bacterium. Its description in RNAcentral is "partial 16S ribosomal RNA". It matches the Rfam family "Bacterial small subunit ribosomal RNA", at positions 28 to 507 of the family's 1533-position model. The record is from RNAcentral.